UAUGUGAUCGUCUCUCGCAUAUCAAUAAGCGGAGGAAAAGAAACUAACAAGGAUUCCCCUAGUAACGGCGAGUGAAGCGGGAAGAGCUCAAAUUUGAAAUCUUAAAGGGUUUCCCUUUACGAAUUGUAGUUUAAAGAAGUGUUUUCUGUUGAGGGUUUUGGUAAAAGUUCUUUGGAAUAGGACAUCAUAGAGGGUGAGAAUCCCGUAUUUGACCUUUACUUUCAACUUUGUGAUACACUUUCAAAGAGUCGGAUUGUUUGGGAAUGCAGUCCAAAAUGGGUGGUAAAUUUCAUCUAAAGCUAAAUAUUGGCGAGAGACCGAUAGCGAACAAGUACCGUGAGGGAAAGAUGAAAAGAACUUUGAAAAGAGAGUUAAACAGUACGUGAAAUUGCAAAAGGGAAGCGUUUGACACCAGUGUUGUUUUUCUGAAAAUCAAUUAAAGAACUGUUUAUGCUAAGCUGUUUAGACUUUAUCAGCUAUCUGUUUAGUUUUGAGCUUUUCUUUAAUGCACUUUUCAGUUAACAAGUCAACAUCAAUUUCUUUUGCUGUAAAAAAGCUUGAGGAAGGUGGCUUGAGAUUCGUCUUAAGUGUUUAUAGCCUCUUGCCUAUGCAGUCGGAGAGAUUGAGGUCUGCAGCGUAGAUCCUUCGGGGCUAAAUGCAUUUGUGCUAAGUUAUAGCAUUUUAUAGACAACUUGUUGUCUAUGAUUUGUCUUGUAGCUUACUCGCUUAUGUUAUUUUACCUACGCUUAGGAUGUUGAGUCGUAGAGCACGCAG
Molecule: ribosomal RNA, 774 nt
Filed under: uncultured Neocallimastigales
Lineage: Eukaryota; Fungi; Neocallimastigomycota; Neocallimastigomycetes; Neocallimastigales
Description: partial large subunit ribosomal RNA
Rfam family: Eukaryotic large subunit ribosomal RNA
Source: RNAcentral